This is a non-coding RNA of Phalacrocorax carbo (great cormorant), 1082 nucleotides long. The record is from RefSeq and is a predicted model, not a curated record. NCBI's taxonomy places the organism in Eukaryota, Metazoa, Chordata, Aves, Suliformes, Phalacrocoracidae.
CCGCCGCGGCCCACGCAGCCGCCCGCCCACGCGACGCCCACGCCCCGUCCCCCCCUCACCGCAGCGGUCCCGGGUGGGGGGGAGCGGCGCGGCGCGGCCUCCGGCAGCGCGGGGCUCUGCGGCUCCCGCCGAAACCGGCAGCGGGCGCGGGGUGGGCGAGGCCGUGGGCCGCGCUGCCAAAGCGGGGCCGUCUCCCACCUGUGUUUUUAGCACCCGAGCGCCGGAGGCGUCACCUCCCCCCUGGCAGGGAGGCGUCGGUGAGGCACUUCAGGAGCUCCGGGUGCCUCCUUGCUCUGACACCAAAGUAAACGCGUGGUCUGGCCCGUUAUAAAUCACAGUCUUCGGGAACAUGCUGGAAGCCUCCUUUCUUGAUGGCCCUCUGACAACGGACGGCGAGAGGCGACCUGGCUGGAGGUGGUCAGCUCUUAAAAAUUUGUUUUGCAAUGCUGACAAAUUUUGCAAAAGCAGCGGCAAUGGAUUCCACUCUGGUUAAGACAGCCUUUACCUUUCCCAAACAUUUUAUUCUAACUCUGUACUUUGGGACCCAACCUUUUCAAGAUUUUAAUUAAAUGUAACCAGCAGAUAUCAAGAGUUACUGACGAGUCAAUAUUACUCUGAAACUCCGUAGUUACCUACAAUAAGGUAUGCCAGUGACUUCAAGGACUGCCUUGUCCAGCUGUGUCUCUUCAAACAAUACAUCACCAAGAGAGACAACACUGACUGACAUGCCUCCGGUCUAGAAGAAUUCAGUCAUUUUCCACUAAAUCCUCCAUAACUGCAUUGUUUUGUCUGCAGGUGUCUUUCCUAUAACUGUUACAGAAGUAUUAAAUUCUAGAAGAAAGCUCUUGCCUUUUUCACUGAAGCAUGUCCACUGCACAGGCUGUUCCCUUUACAAAAAAAAGUCAUCACUCCUUUCAGGUCUUACAUGAAGCUGCUCGUAAAUCUAGCCCAUCAGAGGAGAAAUGCUCUCUUUAUUCUGAUUUUCAAACCAAGAAAACAAGCAUUUGGUCACUUUGCAAUGAAUAUUAAUCAAAUGCUAUCCUAUUUGCCUUGAGUUUGGGAGAUGCAGAAAAUUAGUUCAG